Molecule: non-coding RNA, 30 nt
Filed under: Mus musculus (house mouse)
Lineage: Eukaryota; Metazoa; Chordata; Mammalia; Rodentia; Muridae
Source: RNAcentral
UGGAGUCAACAUGUCUUUAUAUCCUAAGCU